RNAcentral lists this ribosomal RNA (464 nucleotides) under uncultured bacterium. Its description in RNAcentral is "partial 16S ribosomal RNA". It matches the Rfam family "Bacterial small subunit ribosomal RNA", at positions 29 to 523 of the family's 1533-position model. The record is from RNAcentral.
AACGAACGCUGGCGGCGGGCUUAACACAUGCAAGUCGAGCGCCCCGCAAGGGGAGCGGCAGACGGGUGAGUAACGCGUGGGUAACCUACCUAUAAGACUGGGAUAACAUACCGAAAGGUAUGCUAAUACGAGAUAAUAUACUUUUAUCGCAUGGUAGAAGUAUCAAAGCUUUUGCGGUACAGGAUGGACCCGCGUCUGAUUAGCUAGUUGGUAAGGUAACGGCUUACCAAGGCGACGAUCAGUAGCCGACCUGAGAGGGUGAUCGGCCACAUUGGAACUGAGACACGGUCCAAACUCCUACGGGAGGCAGCAGUGGGGAAUAUUGCACAAUGGGCGAAAGCCUGAUGCAGCAACGCCGCGUGAGCGAUGAAGGCCUUCGGGUCGUAAAGCUCUGUCCUCAAGGAAGAUAAUGACGGUACUUGAGGAGGAAGCCCCGGCUAACUACGUGCCAGCCGCCGCAGUAA